AGAACGAACGUUAGCGGCGCGCCUAAUACAUGCAAGUCGUGCGAGAAAGGGCUUCGGCCCCCGGUAAAGCGGCGCACGGGUGAGUAACACGUAGGUGAUCUCCCCUCGAGUGGUGGAUAACCCUCCGAAAGGAGAGCUAAUACAGCAUAAGACCACGACCUCGCUGAGGUUGCGGUCAAAGUAGGCCUCUACAUGUAAGCUUACGCUUGAGGAUGGCCUG
Molecule: ribosomal RNA, 220 nt
Filed under: uncultured soil bacterium
Lineage: Bacteria
Description: partial 16S ribosomal RNA
Rfam family: Bacterial small subunit ribosomal RNA
Source: RNAcentral